AGUGAACGCUGGCGGUAGGCCUAACACAUGCAAGUCGAACGGCAGCACAGUAAGAGCUUGCUCUUACGGGUGGCGAGUGGCGGACGGGUGAGGAAUACAUCGGAAUCUACUAUUUCGUGGGGGAUAACGUAGGGAAACUUACGCUAAUACCGCAUACGACCUACGGGUGAAAGCAGUGGAUCUUCGGACCUUGCGCGAUUGAAUGAGCCGAUGUCGGAUUAGCUAGUUGGCGGGGUAAAGGCCCACCAAGGCGACGAUCCGUAGCUGGUCUGAGAGGAUGAUCGGCCACACUGGAACUGAGACACGGUCCAGACUCCUACGGGAGGCAGCAGUGGGGAAUAUUGGACAAUGGGCGCAAGCCUGACCCAGCCAUACCGCGUGGGUGAAGAAGGCCUUCGGGUUGUAAAGCCCUUUUGUUGGGAAAGAAAAGCAGCAGGUUAAUACCCCGCUGUUCUGACGGUACCCAAAGAAUAAGCACCGGCUAACUUCGUG
This 492-nucleotide ribosomal RNA is filed under the name uncultured bacterium. RNAcentral's name for it is "partial 16S ribosomal RNA". It matches the Rfam family "Bacterial small subunit ribosomal RNA", at positions 29 to 507 of the family's 1533-position model. The record is from RNAcentral.